GCGGGGGUGCGCCACAGAAAAGGCGCGAAAGCUGACAGCUGAAGCUGAAGCUGAUGACGCCGGUGACAGUGCGGGUUCGAAUCCCGCCCUCCGCA
RNAcentral lists this transfer RNA (95 nucleotides) under Actinoplanes octamycinicus. RNAcentral describes it as "tRNA-OTHER". The record is from RNAcentral. Lineage: Bacteria; Bacillati; Actinomycetota; Actinomycetes; Micromonosporales; Micromonosporaceae.